Herpailurus yagouaroundi (jaguarundi) is the source of this 2198-nucleotide long non-coding RNA. RefSeq lists it as uncharacterized. The record is from RefSeq and is a predicted model, not a curated record. The transcript has 3 exons. NCBI's taxonomy places the organism in Eukaryota, Metazoa, Chordata, Mammalia, Carnivora, Felidae.
CCCUUAACCGACGGAGCCACCCAGGCGUCCCUCAUUCAUCUUUUUAGACGCCACAUUCUUGAUAAUGUGACUCAGGAACGCGGCUGCCACACUGGCCCUGCCCUAAACUCUCCUGAGAAGCUAUCUCAAGUAAUGAAGCAAAGGGAAAAAAUUAGUUUUCUGUCCUAGGUCACAAGUCCCUAAACUCUUCCUAACUUUAUAGUUAAACCUACCCCUAAAAUCCCACCACCAUUUCUCACCUUUGCUGCAAGUGCACACAUUCACUUCCGACGCCCUAAGCCCAAGGCCAGGUCUCGUUGUUCUUUGUUUCCCAGCCAGCGGCCAGGGUCACGCCUGUCAACCGCAGUAAUCACGCGAGGACUGGAAGUCACGGACUACUUUGAAUCAAGCCAGGCAAAUGGGGCUUGUGCAAGACUCAACCUAUUCGUGGAUCCGGGCACCUUAGCAAAGUAGAGCCUGAACUGGCAACUGUGAUGUAGUUUUCUGAAAUGUGAUUUCUCAAACUCCUUUAGCUAUCUGCCGUAAGGUGCAUUUGGGUUUUCUUUCUAGCCCUAUUGUUUUAUAAUUGGAUGCCUUUUCCUGCCUGAUAAAUUCAAGUUUUCGGGAACUUAAGCACUUAAUACUUUAGAUUUCUCAGAAAGGCAGCUUAUUAGGAAACCUCGUGUUUACUCAAGUAUGCGAGAAGUCCACUUGGCCAGCAGGCUACAUGCGAUUCCUUGAAAUUCUGUUCCAUGGACGCCAGGGAGCUAAAUGUAACAUUUAGUCAUCAAUAGGAUAAUUUAGGCUCAUUCUUUCUACUUGCCUUCUUAAGAAGGGAUUGGAGUUCAUGCUGGUAUUCUCUAGAAAAUGGAAGUGACUUCCCGCCCUGUAAAGAUGGCUUUCCAUACACCGUGGACUCUCACACAAGCCUCUUUAUCGUCACACACAUGAAAGCAACAUGCAAAUGCUGAGGCUGGGACCAACGGCGGGAAGCCUUACAAUCAAGAAUGAGAGAAAACUACACACUUAACUACCAAUGAAAUGCCAAGCAGAAACGAAGAUGUCCUCACCAGACGAUGGUCUUGAAGACCAGAAGCUCAGCUCCACAGCCCAGAACUUAGACACAACUCCUAAGGAAAUUAGGAAAACCUCAAAUUAACUAGAAUUCCUAUUCUGCUGUGCCAGUAGCAUGGAAACUCAAGAAAGAAAUUAAAUUUAAAAAAUCACAUUUCUUGCACCCUGAAAUCAAUACCUACAAUAUUGCCCAACUGGGGAAGCAGGACAUUUCCAUAAAAAGAGAGGCACUGUCAUUGGCUAGUAGAUACGGGGAGUAAAUAAGCUACAUAGCAGACACUUUCUACAGAAAUUCAAGGCUUCUGCAGCCCACAGAGGUGGAGAGAACAUCAUGGAUGGCGGCAGCCUUCUUGCAAUAUUAACCGACCAGAGUGGUUAAGGUGAGGCAUAGUGCCCAACAAACCGGUUCUGGGAGUUGACUGAGCUCCGCCGGGCGAUUCUCACCAGGAUCUCUUUACAGUUGCAAUCAGCAUGUGAGUGGAGCUGGAAUCAUCUGGAAGUCCACUUCACACACUUGUUCGGGGCCCGGACUGGAGAGAUCCAAAGAGCUGGAAGCUAGGGCUGGAAGACAGAUGGUUCCCUGGACAUCUUUCUCUAUUUCGAUGAGGUCUCUCUAUGUGGUCAUUCCACUAUGGUGGCUUCAGAGUAGCUGGACUUUUUACGUGGCAUCUCAGCACCCCAAAAGCACAGGUCCCAGGAGAGAGAGAGAGAGACAGAGAGACAGAGAGAGACUCUAGCAGAAUGGGUGCUGUGCUCUUACAUAAUCACAUAAACUUCAUCAUGUACAUCCCAUUCAUUACCUUUGCCACCUUCCAUUGGUUAGAAGCACAUCACGGGUCCCACCCACACUUGCGGGGAGGGGAAUGACACAGGGUCGUGACUCCUAGGAGCAGAGAUCGUGGGGCCACCCUAAAGUCAGUCUGCCACACACAGCGAAGUUGAGCAAUGUCCCCCUGGUCACACAGCUAGUGGGCAGCACAAACAGUUUUAGACCUCCAGCAGUCUGACUCCAGAGUCCCCGUUCUCAAUUAUUACACUAGAGGGACACUCCAUAGGAGUGAAUAUUUCUUAAUUGUUAUAAUUCUUAUCUAUCUAUCUAUCUAUCUAUCUAUCUAUCUAUCUAUUUAUCUUGAGAGACAGAGAGC